Non-coding RNA from Trichomonas vaginalis G3, 737 nucleotides. NCBI's taxonomy places the organism in Eukaryota, Parabasalia, Trichomonadida, Trichomonadidae. The record is from Rfam.
CGAGUGGUGGAAUACUUUGACUCAUGAGAGAGAAGCUGAGGCGAAGGCGUCUACCUAGAGGGUUUCUGUCGAUCAAGGGCGAGAGUAGGAGUAUCCAACAGGAUUAGAGACCCUGGUAGUUCCUACCUUAAACGAUGCCGACAGGAGUUUGUCAUUUGUUAAUGGCAGAAUCUUUGGAGAAAUCAUAGUUCUUGGGCUCUGGGGGAACUACCACCGCAAGGCUGAAACUUGAAGGAAUUGACGGAAGGGCACACCAGGGGUGGAGCCUGUGGCUUAAUUUGAAUCAACACGGGGAAACUUACCAGGACCAGAUGUUUUUUAUGACUGACAGGCUUCGGGUCUUUCAGGAUAUUGUUUUUGGUGGUGCAUGGCCGUUGGUGGUGCGUGGGUUGACCUGUCUAGCGUUGAUUCAGCUAACGAGCGAGAUUAUCGCCAAUUAUUUACUUUGCCGAAGUCCUUCGGUUAAAGUUCUAAUUGGGACUCCCUGCGAUUUUAGCAGGUGGAAGAGGGUAGCAAUAACAGGUCCGUGAUGCCCUUUAGAUGCUCUGGGCUGCACGCGUGCUACAAUGUUAGGAUCAAUAGGACUGCGAGCCUGAGAGGGUGCGCUACUCUUAUAAUCCCUAACGUAGUUGGGAUUGACGUUUGUAAUCAGCGUCAUGAACCAGGAAUCCCUUGUAAAUGUGUGUCAACAACGCACGUUGAAUACGUCCCUGCCCUUUGUACACACCGCCCGUCGC